This 74-nucleotide ribosomal RNA is filed under the name Bacillus sp. Root239. Its description in RNAcentral is "partial 16S ribosomal RNA". It matches the Rfam family "Bacterial small subunit ribosomal RNA", at positions 1 to 71 of the family's 1533-position model. Lineage: Bacteria; Bacillati; Bacillota; Bacilli; Caryophanales; Bacillaceae. The record is from RNAcentral.
AUUUCUUCGGAGAGUUUGAUCCUGGCUCAGGAUGAACGCUGGCGGCGUGCCUAAUACAUGCAAGUCGAGCGAAC